RNAcentral lists this ribosomal RNA (405 nucleotides) under uncultured bacterium. RNAcentral's name for it is "bacterial SSU rRNA". It matches the Rfam family "Bacterial small subunit ribosomal RNA", at positions 355 to 775 of the family's 1533-position model. The record is from RNAcentral.
UGAGGGAUAUUGGGCAAUGGACGCAAGUCUGACCCAGCGACGCCGCGUGGAGGACGAAGGGCUUCGGCUCGUAAACUCCUUUUCCCAGGGACGAGAACAGGACGGUACCUGGGGAAUAAGUCUCGGCUAACUACGUGCCAGCAGCCGCGGUAAAACGUAGGAGGCAAGCGUUAUCCGGAAUUACUGGGCGUAAAGGGCGUCUAGGCGGCCUCACAAGCGGGAUGUGAAAGCUCCUGGCUCAACUGGGAGAGUGCGUUCCGAACUGUGGAGCUAGAGGCCAGGCGAUGGGGGUGGAAUUCCCGGUGGAGUGGUGAAAUGCGUAGAGAUCGGGAGGAACACCAGUGGCGCAAGCGGCCCCCAAGCCUGAGACUGACGCUGAAGCGCGACAGCGUGGGGAGCAAACGG